RNAcentral lists this transfer RNA (21 nucleotides) under Picea abies (Norway spruce). Its description in RNAcentral is "partial tRNA-Thr". RNAcentral also lists the same sequence under 36 other names. Lineage: Eukaryota; Viridiplantae; Streptophyta; Pinopsida; Pinales; Pinaceae. The record is from RNAcentral.
UAACCUCUGAGCUAAGCAGGC